AGACUCCCUACCUUAGAAGAAGGGAGGUGGUAGAUGAAAUGAACUGUAUGAAGAGCCACUAGCCUGGCCCACACACAGAAGAAGGACUGGCCCGUCUUCUUGAAGCCCAUGCUCUGGUAGAGGGCCAUAGCAGAGAGCUGGAUGGUGCCGGUGUCCAGGAUAACUUCACUGUAGCCCUGGUCCCGGGCAAACUGGAGGACAGUCCUGACCAGGGCUUUUGCUAUCCCCUGACGACGGUGCUCACUGUCCACAAAGAGAUGAAACAGCUGCAACCGCUUCUCCCUCAAGGUGGGAUCAUCAACAGGCAGAGCUCCUACCAUGCCCACCACCUUCUCUUCAGACUCAGCCACCCAGAAGCAGGAGCCACGCUCACUCAGGUAGGAUUUGGUAAUGUCAGACAUGUCUGUGCACAAUGUCAUGUCCACAUACUCCGUCCAGGGUUUUUUGGCAAGGAACCACAGGGCAGGGAAGAGGCUGAUGCUGAACACGAGGGCUAGAAGCCAGGAUCCAGAGACCAGGAGUAGGGCGAGGGGCCCCCCAAGUAAGAGUAUGAGGGUUCGAGGCAGCUUCAGCAAUUGCCGGAAGGUGGCUGGGGCAUGCUCGGCCAUCCCCCGGGAGAGCAAGCCCACAACCCACUGGCGGUCGCUCUCCUGGUAUUUGCGGAUGUGACAAGGAGCCAU
RNAcentral lists this long non-coding RNA (680 nucleotides) under Homo sapiens (human). Its description in RNAcentral is "long non-coding RNA NONHSAT071625.2". Lineage: Eukaryota; Metazoa; Chordata; Mammalia; Primates; Hominidae. The record is from RNAcentral.